AAGACAAAGUCACACAGUGUACCGAGGGGAGGGGGCGGCUAAGUUAGCUGGUGGCUAACAGCAGAGGCCAGUUAGCGUAACGUUAACACAUUUCAUAACUUCAGCGUCACUGUUAGCAUUAGCGAAGCAGGUCAUGUAAUGGUGAAGGUGGUCAGCGGAGUUGCCUCAUGCUUACAAAUCCGUCAUUUCAAACCAAGCAAACUUGAAGUACGUCUUGGAGUUGCGGAAGAGAUAAGCCAGGUUGUUGUGCCUGCUGUUUGCCAUGACCAGAGUGCUUGUACUUCUGGUGUUCAAGUCAAAUCUGUAAAAUAUUAAUCAUAGGAACCAUGGAGUAUGUCAUCAUCAUCAUCAUAUCCUUCUCCUCCUGGAUCUGUGAUGGAUCUUCCUCCUGGUCUCUUCUGCUGCGGUGGAGCUUCUCCGGCUCUCCAGCUUCUGCAGGCUCCAUGAUUCCCGCCUGC
Long non-coding RNA from Acanthopagrus latus (yellowfin seabream), 458 nucleotides. RefSeq lists it as uncharacterized. The record is from RefSeq and is a predicted model, not a curated record. The transcript has 3 exons. NCBI's taxonomy places the organism in Eukaryota, Metazoa, Chordata, Actinopteri, Spariformes, Sparidae.